RNAcentral lists this transfer RNA (77 nucleotides) under Planctomycetota bacterium. RNAcentral's name for it is "tRNA-Arg". It matches the Rfam family "tRNA". Rfam says of the family: Transfer RNA (tRNA) molecules are approximately 80 nucleotides in length. Their secondary structure includes four short double-helical elements and three loops (D, anti-codon, and T loops). Further hydrogen bonds mediate the characteristic L-shaped molecular structure. tRNAs have two regions of fundamental functional importance: the anti-codon, which is responsible for specific mRNA codon recognition, and the 3' end, to which the tRNAs corresponding amino acid is attached (by aminoacyl-tRNA synthetases). tRNAs cope with the degeneracy of the genetic code in two manners: having more than one tRNA (with a specific anti-codon) for a particular amino acid; and 'wobble' base-pairing, i.e. permitting non-standard base-pairing at the 3rd anti-codon position. The record is from RNAcentral. Lineage: Bacteria; Pseudomonadati; Planctomycetota.
GCACCCAUAGCUCAAUUGGAUAGAGCACCUGACUACGGAUCAGGAGGUUAGUGGUUCGACUCCACUUGGGUGUACCA